This 252-nucleotide ribosomal RNA is filed under the name uncultured Gardnerella sp. RNAcentral describes it as "partial 16S ribosomal RNA". It matches the Rfam family "Bacterial small subunit ribosomal RNA", at positions 103 to 354 of the family's 1533-position model. Lineage: Bacteria; Bacillati; Actinomycetota; Actinomycetes; Bifidobacteriales; Bifidobacteriaceae. The record is from RNAcentral.
CGGGUGAGUAAUGCGUGACCAACCUGCCCCAUGCUCCAGAAUAGCUCUUGGAAACGGGUGGUAAUGCUGGAUGCUCCAACUUGACGCAUGUCUUGUUGGGAAAGUGUUUAGUGGCAUGGGAUGGGGUCGCGUCCUAUCAGCUUGUAGGCGGGGUAAUGGCCCACCUAGGCUUCGACGGGUAGCCGGCCUGAGAGGGCGGACGGCCACAUUGGGACUGAGAUACGGCCCAGACUACUACGGGAGGCAGCAGGC